GACGAACGCUGGCGGCGUGCCUAAUACAUGCAAGUCGUGCGGACCUUGUUGAAAGCUUGCUUUUAAAAGGUUAGCGGCGGACGGGUGAGUAACACGUGGGCAACCUGCCUGUAAGACUGGGCUAACGCCGGGAAACCGGGGCUAAUACCAGAUCGUUUUUUCCUCCGCAUGGAGGAAAAAGGAAAGGCGGCUUCGGCUGCCACUUACAGAUGGGCCCGCGGCGCAUUAGCUAGUUGGCGGGGUAAUGGCCCACCAAGGCAACGAUGCGUAGCCGACCUGAGAGGGUGAUCGGCCACAUUGGGACUGAGACACGGCCCAAACUCCUACGGGAGGCAGCAGUAGGGAAUCUUCCGCAAUGGACGAAAGUCUGACGGAGCAACGCCGCGUGAGUGAAGAAGGCCUUCGGGUCGUAAAACUCUGUUGCCGGGGAAGAACAAGUGCCGUUCGAACAGGGCGGCGCCUUGACGGUACCCGGCCAGAAAGCCACGGCUAACUACGUG
This 500-nucleotide ribosomal RNA is filed under the name uncultured bacterium. RNAcentral's name for it is "partial 16S ribosomal RNA". It matches the Rfam family "Bacterial small subunit ribosomal RNA", at positions 28 to 507 of the family's 1533-position model. The record is from RNAcentral.